RNAcentral lists this long non-coding RNA (2688 nucleotides) under Equus caballus (horse). Its description in RNAcentral is "lncRNA (ENSECAG00000051043.1)". Lineage: Eukaryota; Metazoa; Chordata; Mammalia; Perissodactyla; Equidae. The record is from RNAcentral.
CAAGCCUGCACCCAGGGUGGGUCGACUGAAACAAAGGGGACCAGAAGGUGGGCGCCCAGGAGCAGGUGCCGUGGGGACACCGGCCCACCAGCGCCCUGGAUCCUGAGGGGCGAGGAAUCCAGCCCGGAGCCCGCAGCCGCGCGAGGCCGAGGCCCGGGCUGAUGAGCGAGAGCCGGGGCGCCCCAGGGUCCCCUCCUGCCUCGGGCCGCCCGCGCGGCAAGGAGUGUGUCUGGGUGCAGGAGGAGGCCGAGCCCGCUGGACUGUCCUCGGGAGAGUCCGGCCCACAGGGGGCUCGGCUCGCCCCCAAGUCCGGGGCCGCGUCUGCUCAGAGGCCGGAGGCGCCCGCCGCCUCGCCGCGGCAGCCGCGGGACAAGCGCGGGCUCCUGGACUGGACACAGUUUCCCGCCUCCCUGUGGCUGUUUCCCGACCUGUUGGAGCACAGGCUCCAGUUUUAGAGGCUGUGGAGGACUGGGGCAGGGCACGGCUCCGACUUCAGGGUCUGACAGCUGUGCUUUCUCCAAACACUCAUCCAGGGAGCUGGGGGCCAGGUGGCCUUUGUCGGUUCUCCUCUUUCCUCCUGAAGUCAGGGCCUGGACCGGCUGCCCUGCUCAACCUCAGGAACCUCCUUUUUACUUUUAUUUUAUGAUUAGUUGCCUUUGGUCUCCUCAUUCCUCCAUGGGGUGCACUGAGGCCCCUGCAUUUGCUCACGCCUUCCUGUAUCCAUACUCUUGGGGAACCCUCCCACCCUGAGCCUGGGCUUGGACUGGUGACUUCUUUUGGCCGAUGGGACAUAGGAAAGGCGAUGCAAAAGGAAACUCGAAAAUUUCUUGCUGCUCCUGGAAACCUGCCUCCAUAUAAGCAAACCCUGGCUAUUCUGACAGACGACAUGGCCCAGCACCCCCAAAGACUGAGCUGAGAUCCCAGCUGAGAGAGAGGCCAUCUGGGAUCCUCCAGCCCAUCUCCCAGCGCACCUGCCACUUGGCCCCAGACAAAUUGCUGCUGGCAGAGGGGACCUUAAUGCCACCUAGACCCACUCCCAUUGCACGGGAAUGCUUUCAGAGGAGUCAAGCCUUGCAGCCUCUUCCUUGACAUUCAAACCAGAGCAGAGCCUGACAGGAAUCACUCACAUCUGGUCCACAUGGCAUCAGCUGAGAUGGCUCCAAUCAAGACUGGACAAUCCACUUUCAAUACAGAUCACCCACAUGGCUGGCAGGUUACUGCUGGCUGCUGGCUGGCUGCUCAGCUGGUCUGGGGCCUGGGCGUGAGGGGCCUUGCUUCCUCUCCGGUGGGCUUCUCCUCAGCUGCUUGGGUUUCCUCACUGGAGGAUGGCUGAGGUCCCAGAGCAAAUGUCCCAAGAGAUCCAGACAAAAGGGGGUGGUGCUUUUAUGCUCUAUCCUUGGAAUCACAUAGCAUACAAUUCCAUUGCACCUUGUUAGUUGAGGGGGUCACAAAGUUCCACCCAGGUUAAAAGGAAGGGGACAUAGAUUGCACCCAUGGGGUAGUGGCACGGUCAUGUUGUAAGAUGAGCAUGUGGGAUGAGAGAGGUUCUUAUAUUCUAAAGUCAGUAUUUACCUCUUUCAUUAACAAAGACCUUGAAACACAUUGUCUUCCACAUGUCCCCUAUGCUCUUUGUAUAUAUUUAGUUGAAUGCUUUUAUUUUGCUUGGUUUUACCCCAUAAAUUAGACAUUUUGAUUUCUAUAAUGUUUGAACCAACGAAUACAUCUCUAAAGAAUAUAGCUUACUUUUGCUUGUUUUUGAACUUUUUACAAAUGGAAUCACAUGUUAGGAAUGAUUUUUGUUCACGCCUCUUUUGCUCAAAGUGUAAGUGUCUAAGACUUAUGCAUGUCACUGCAUGUAGCUGUGCCUUGUUCGUUUUCAUUGUUGCCUGGCUCUCUGUGCUAUAACAGAUGACAGUUUACCAGCUGCGCUGUAGAUGGACUCUGGGCCAUUUCCAGGUUUGUUGAUUAGAAUUCACAUAUCCUAGUGCAAAUGUGCAUGAGUUUCUUUGAUGUGUACCCCCAAGAGGGAUAUUGCAGAUGCUUCUAUUACUACAUAAUACCAAACUGUACCAAUUUCUACUCCCACUGGCUAGUAUGAGAAUUCCUGUUCCAAAGCCCUGUUGCUAUAAUCUGAUUUUGCCAGAUUUUUUUCUUGUUUAUGGUAAGUUUGUAAUGGAAAACACUACCUUUAAUCUUACCUUAAUCUCUGCUGACUGCAUGCUAUCUUCCCAAAGAACCAGUGUUAUCUCCUCCUGAUGCAUAGCUCAUAGCUGCCUGACUUGGUUGUACAGAAGUGUUCUGCUGAGGAUAUGGCAGAGCAGAGAGAGAACAUGCCUGUAUUAGCAAAACUCUGCAUCCUUCCAUUUCUGCUUGCAGGCUGGCUAGAUUUAGCUAGAGUUCCUGUCUCUUAUAGGACUUAGAGCAGUCAAAAAAAAAUUGUCUACAUAAGCCAUCAUUCUGGAUCUUUCCUACCAUUUCCUUAAUGCCACAGAUUUUGUCAAAUUGUGGUCUACCCUCCAAAGUAAUGCAAGCCUCGAAACCUAACCGAAGAUUUUACCACCAUGUAAUGUGAGGCGCCAGCUUUUCAACCUGGGCCCAGCUGAAAUUCAGGGGAUCUAUUACUAUGGAAAAAGGGAAGAUGGACAUCGGUGGACCACUAACAAUCUUGGCCACAGCUUCCUUCUGGCA